GGCGCAAUAGCUCAGUCGGUAGAGCAGUGGUCUCGUAAUCCGAUGACCCGGGUUCCAUAUUGCUCCG
RNAcentral lists this transfer RNA (67 nucleotides) under Strongylocentrotus purpuratus (purple sea urchin). It matches the Rfam family "tRNA". Rfam says of the family: Transfer RNA (tRNA) molecules are approximately 80 nucleotides in length. Their secondary structure includes four short double-helical elements and three loops (D, anti-codon, and T loops). Lineage: Eukaryota; Metazoa; Echinodermata; Echinoidea; Camarodonta; Strongylocentrotidae. The record is from Rfam by way of RNAcentral.